Lycium ferocissimum is the source of this 1529-nucleotide RNA transcript. RefSeq lists it as uncharacterized. Lineage: Eukaryota; Viridiplantae; Streptophyta; Magnoliopsida; Solanales; Solanaceae. The record is from RefSeq and is a predicted model, not a curated record. The transcript has 5 exons.
GGUUGAAGCAGGAUCGUCGUCAACAUCAUUCCAAGGGCAUUUCGGUCAUUUCACGUUUUAGUCUUCCAUACUAAUAAUCAAUCUUCUCGAUUUUUCCUCUAAUCUCCAUUUUAUCUCAUUUUCUCUGCCUCUCUCUCAGUUGGAAAUUCUUUGAUGGGGUCAUGGGACAGCCAAUUUUUGGUUCUACCUUGCGGAAAGAGUAGUAAUGCUAAAUUUUGGGUAAUAUUACAUGCUUAACAAUCUAUGGAGAAGAAAAUGUACUCUGGGCAGGUGAAACGAUUCGUACAUAGGUAUAGAAUCAAGGUGCAUAUUACAGAGGAAUGACGAUGAUUUACGUGCAUGCGAUUGUCAACGAACUAAGGGAGACGUAGGCGAGUGGGAGGACGAAGGAGUACGAGUAGAGAAUGUCGCAGUCAUUGCUCUUAAUUUUUACUUCAGCAGUCGGAUUUUAUAUGUUAUCUCUUGAGGUUUGUGUGUGUGUUCAGUAUCUCAGACUUUGGCGAGUAUCGCUCCUUUAUUGGAUUUCAUUUUUUCCCCUUAGCUUCUUCGCAUUGAGGAGACGUCGACUUCCCAAAAAUGCAUCGCCCUCUUUUGAAUGACGCUUCAAGGUUUGUUUGAUAAUUUGAUCAUUUCUGAGGAUCGUCGACAUGUCGGCUUGCAGACAAAUUAUUUUUGUUCAAGGGUAUUUUAGACUUUUCAGGGGGAACAUGCAAUGGUUGAUCUUGGUCCGUUUUGGUUGGUUUAGUCAACUAGACUUUAAAUUCGUAGUCUUGUAACAUAAUCGUCUGAACUUUGGGAAUCACAGUGGUGAUUAAAUUUUCGCCUACCACUAGCUUCUUAGCUCAAUAAAGUCAGGUUAUGGCCUGCACAAUAUUUACAAUGUACCAAAAGAUAUAUCGUACGAGCUAGGCUUGUGAAAAGAGCGUAUUAAUAUUUUUAUGACCAAGUUUUAUUACUAGCAUUUUAGUUUAGUAGUCUAAUAUUGUGGGAAGAAAAUCUAUCAUAUCUACUUAAGAAACUGACAUGGUUUCUAUUACUAUAUGUUUUCUUUUUCGUUGUUUAGUUUUCCUUCUUUCAUUUAGGGAGUGGAGGACAGAUGGGAUUGGUGGAAUAUAUAGAGGGUAAUCUUUGUGUUAGAUAUGAAGAUAUCGUCCAUGAAGCGUCCUUGAUAUUUCAUGAUCAAGCGUGUAAUAGUCUUUGUAGAACUGGUCCUUCUUUAUUGUUAACAUAAUAUCGUCAGAUAAGUAGUGUUGCGAUGAAUGAAUUUGCUAAAAGAGAAGUGUUUUAGUGCUUAUUUCCUUGUUAGUGGGAUUGGUUCUAAUCAAUCCAUGAUUAAGAGUAAGUUUUUUCCUCAGGUUAUAUUUCUAAUGGUAGCACGAUGUUUAGGGUGUAAAAGAAGUAUCUUCUGAACUAGGCUUACGACAAGGAUUAUAUUGAUAUUAUAUAUGACUAAAUUGUAGUAGCAGUUUCAUAUUUUUUGUGUAAUGGUGUUGGAGAAAUUUAUUUUUGUCUGAUACAUUUCAACUUAU